This 465-nucleotide ribosomal RNA is filed under the name uncultured bacterium. RNAcentral's name for it is "partial 16S ribosomal RNA". The stretch from base 49 to 465 matches the Rfam family "Bacterial small subunit ribosomal RNA", at positions 36 to 507 of the family's 1533-position model. The record is from RNAcentral.
GGGGGGGGGGGGGGGGGGGGUGGGCGGGGGGGGGGGGGGGGGGGGGGCCCGGUGGGGGGUAGACGGGUGGCGAACGGGGGCGUGCGAGGUGGGUAGCCUGCCCGCCACUUUGGGCUAACGCUAGGAACCUGGUGCUACUACUGGAGAUGUGCCCCUGAUGCAUUGUGGGGGUUGGGAAGCUCCGGCGGUUGUGGAUGGACUCGCGGCCUGUCAGCUUGUUGGUGGAGUAGUGGCCUACCCAGGCGGCGACGGGUAGCCGGCCUGAGAGGGUGCCCGGCCACAUGGGGACUGAGAUACGGCCCAGACUCCUACGGGAGGCCGCAGUGGGGAAGAUUGCACCAUGGGCGCAAGCCUGAUGCAGCAACGCCGCGGGCGGGAUGACGGCCUUCGGGUUGGAAACCGCUUGCAGCAGGGACGAAGCUUUUUGUGACGGUACCUGCAGAAGAAGCACCGGCUAACUACGUG